RNAcentral lists this long non-coding RNA (3555 nucleotides) under Triticum aestivum (bread wheat). Its description in RNAcentral is "long non-coding RNA (TAES_LNC010149)". Lineage: Eukaryota; Viridiplantae; Streptophyta; Magnoliopsida; Poales; Poaceae. The record is from RNAcentral.
GAAGAACAUUAUGAAAGGUAUGUACGGUAACUCCAUCCAUGCUUGGCCACACACCAACGUAUGUUUUCCACUGGUGCUAACCUAAACAAAUUCGUUUACUGUGAACUGAACAACGGUGCAUCGUGAUACAGAGGUUGGAGAGGCUGGAGGAGACCAUAUACCAACACAAAGCGCAUCUUGAUGGCCAUCAAUGAGGAGCUGGACCUGCUACACCAGGCUAAUUGCAAGCAUUGGGUACUUUUGUUAGCUAUCAAUUAAAUCUCUUGUCCUGCAAGAACAUGUGUUUAUUUAUGAAAACAUUUUACAUGAGCGUUGUAGGAUGAUUUGGAUGAGAUGACUGAUGAGGACAUGAGCGUUGUCGGAUGAUUUGGACGAGAGGACUGUAGCACGACGCAAUGAAGAGCCAGAUCGUCCGUCCGCUCCCAGCUCACUUCCCAGUUCUGUUGUGCUGCCCCGUGCACCAACCAUCCAGUAAAGGUUCUGAGGUUAACAUCUCUUUUGCAAGUUUCGUAUAACUUUCGUUGUCACUUUAUUAUCUAUUGAUCCACAUGUUUGUAUUUUAACAGACAUGAGUACUUUAUCAUCUUUCCAGGAAGAAAUUACUAGAGAGAAGAAAACUCAGUUUUACAAGUAGUGACAGUCCAACAUCAUAUUGACACAUCUGGUUUCUCUUUCCACAAGCAGGGUCGAGUGGGGUGAUAUACUAGGCGCUUUCUUCUAAAUUGUACAGAAAGUCCACUGAGUUAUUGUUGUUUGUAUGCCACCUUAGAGCGAAAUAGUACUUCUUUUAAUCAUUUUUUAGGUGAAAUACAAGCAUGUAGCUACCUCACUUAAUUAUUGUACUCACUUGAAGUUUAUGUUGAUACAAUGCACUAUUUAAGUAGUAGAGAAACCUCACAAAUUUAAAUUGAUGAAUGAUAUUUAGGAAAAGAAGUAGGCAUGUUUCAUUAUAAAGGGAAAGUCUUUUUCAAGGCAUAGUGUUUAAUUCAUGAAUGGUUAAACAGUUUAACGGGGACCAACACUGGGUAGCAGGGGAGUGGCAGUGCAUAGAGAUAUAGUGAGGGGAGCGGGGGCGAUGAUGGAGGCGGAGAUGUUUAGAGAGAGAUAUAGAGAGUGGGAGGUUCACCAUGGUGCAAUCGAAAACCAAGGCACACCUUGCUAAGACAAGCACACUUUAAAACAUAGCAAUACUCUGCAUUGUUUGAUGUUGGUAUCAGGACCAGGUACCAUGUGAAGCUCAAGGAAUGGUUGUAGAUCAUUAUGGAUAAACUAAAAAAAAAGAUCAUUAUGGAGUACAUUAUAAACGGCAUUUGGUGUCGGCGGCAUGUCACUACCACUGACAAAGUUCUCUGAAACACGAUUACUAUCAUGUACAAUGCUUUACAGUUCUCUCAUAUUCAAAUGCUAAAAUUCUGUAAUUUCAUAUUUAGUAGUUUCUGCGGUGUGAAAUUCAUGUUUUAUUUUGCUUGUGCAGUUGAAAAUAAAUGUUGGCAAAGAUAUUAAAAUUCAAAUCUGGCUUAUUUUUCUCAAUAUGGGUUCAGAAGGAAAUUGUCGUUGAGCUUCUAUCUAAAGGUAUGUCAGAUUAACAGGUUGCUAUCGCAACUCUUGAUUUGGAGUAAUGCAAAGCAACUGUGGAUCUUGUCGUCGGUACAUCUUGGGUUGUUGUUCUUCCAGAACGAAGGAUUUUUUUCCCUAGAUUGUGCUAUGAAAUAAUGCUUGUAUAACGCCUUGAUCUCUUGGCUACACCAUGCUUUCUGGAGAACACUAUACUUACAGAAGAAUGAUGCUUCUAUAGAAUGUGCCACCAUGAGUUCUGUCAGCUCUUUUAAUUUUGUGUUCACUAUGGACGAAUGAACCAUAUAAUUUGUCAAUUUGAUCAGUACUUGCUGAGUGCUUGCUUUCAUGUUGCAAUCUCAGAUUUAGGCACUUCAUAGCCAUAGAUUAAUUUUGAAUUGUUAUGCUCAGUACACCAAAUGUUGUUCCUAGGUAAUGCACUGUUUGCAACUAAGUUUUGUCUUUAAGCACCAAGGUGUAGUAGUAUGCAUUGAAAUAAAUGGAUCAUUUCUAUCUUUCUGGUGCUCAUAAUAGACUUUUUCAUUUUGAAUUUGUAUGCUUGAAAUUUGAUUAUUUCUAUCAACUGAGAGUGGAAAUGAACUGUACCGUAGGCACUUUUUCAUUAGAUUUCAGCAGCGGCUGAUGGCAGCAACCUCAUGGGCCACACAUCCCCUUCUUUAAUUGCAUGCCCUCACAAAAUGGAUGGGGACUUGGUUCUUUGGUUGUCGCCGCCGGACUCAGUGAAGGACGAAAAAUUGAGAUGAUCUAGUGGAGAAUAGAUGCCACGGGCUGAAGAAAGGAGGCGACGGUUUCAGAGCACACACCUUGAAGCGGAGAGGCGGCAAGGGAGUGCGUCUGGAUGGCAAGAGGGAGCGGGACAAGGCAACAUCACAUGGGAGGCAUGGUCAAAAUCGGCGCCGUAGGAGCAAUCGUGCGCGUGGGGGUCGUACCAGGGAGAAGGAAAAGGAUGGUCGGUUUUCUAGGGCUUUUUUCCUUGCAUCGGGAAAUGGGUUUGGUUGAAAAAAACGAUGAUGUGGGGAGGUUAUGCGAGUGGUGGAUACGUGGGUACCAUUUAAUGUACCAAGUGCGCUUUAAUAGUAGAGAUUAAGAUGUUGAUAUUUUAUUCAUUUUCUUCUUAGCUGAACAUUCUUUAAACCAAAAAUCUAUGAAACUUGUAAUGUAUCAUGGUCGCAAUUUGUGAAGUAGAACUAACUAUCCUUUGACCAAAUACCCUUUGACCAUUCAUCAAUUUUUAUGUACUUGUCGCCCGUGACAACAAAUAUGGAUCAAAUAACUAUGCACUAUGGGCACUAAUAUGUUUACCUUCAAAUGGGUUUGUUACUGUGUUUAGUUACUAUGAUGUUUCAUAUGUUCAUCAGAAAAAAUAAAGGCUUAUUUGCUUGCAUGUGCUUUCUCAUGUUUGUUUGUUUUUUCUUCUGGUUGUUCCUUUUCUAUAAUUGUCACAUAAAGUGAACCGAAACUCAUAUUCUAUAUUUCUGCUGUGUAGAUACCCGUGAGCCCGCUGUUGAACUCGCUAAAAAUGGAGAUAGACAUGGAUUUAACGGUUCUCAUUCAUUUAAAUCUUAGUGAAUUGAUACCAGUUUCCAUUUGGAACUGAGAUAACGAGGAAUCGUUUCCUUCAUGAUACUGCAUGUAUGAGCUUUUUUCUUUCGGUCUAGGCCAAUAUUGUACAAAGUUAUUUCCUAAAAUUAUAUUCGAAGGUGUCUUCUAUGAGAGUAACCAUCUCAAUCUUUUUUCUAUAGUUGUCACAAGGUUCUUGUGCUAAAGUAAAGUGAUUUUUGCUUGGUCAAUAUGUUUUCUUCUGAAUAUUUCAAGAAUGAAUUAGUUUAUGCUGCAGUAGUGAGUCACUGUUAAAAAUAGGGAGAAAGGUGUUAUAAGUGAAAAAUUAUGUAGUAUACUUUUAGCUUCCAAACAUUUGUACUUAUGUUCUAUGCCCAUUUUGAUUUGGACAAAUGUUUGGGAAUCACAGUGGUGAAAAGG